Molecule: ribosomal RNA, 379 nt
Filed under: Pichia kudriavzevii
Lineage: Eukaryota; Fungi; Ascomycota; Pichiomycetes; Pichiales; Pichiaceae
Description: partial large subunit ribosomal RNA
Rfam family: Eukaryotic large subunit ribosomal RNA
Source: RNAcentral
CUCAGUAGCGGCGAGUGAGCGGCAAGAGCUCAGAUUUGAAAUCGUGCUUUGCGGCACGAGUUGUAGAUUGCAGGUUGGAGUCUGUGUGGAAGGCGGUGUCCAAGUCCCUUGGAACAGGGCGCCCAGGAGGGUGAGAGCCCCGUGGGAUGCCGGCGGAAGCAGUGAGGCCCUUCUGACGAGUCGAGUUGUUUGGGAAUGCAGCUCCAAGCGGGUGGUAAAUUCCAUCUAAGGCUAAAUACUGGCGAGAGACCGAUAGCGAACAAGUACUGUGAAGGAAAGAUGAAAAGCACUUUGAAAAGAGAGUGAAACAGCACGUGAAAUUGUUGAAAGGGAAGGGUAUUGCGCCCGACAUGGGGAUUGCGCACCGCUGCCUCUCGUG